This is a transfer RNA of Daphnia magna, 68 nucleotides long. It matches the Rfam family "tRNA". From Rfam's summary of the family: Transfer RNA (tRNA) molecules are approximately 80 nucleotides in length. Their secondary structure includes four short double-helical elements and three loops (D, anti-codon, and T loops). Further hydrogen bonds mediate the characteristic L-shaped molecular structure. tRNAs have two regions of fundamental functional importance: the anti-codon, which is responsible for specific mRNA codon recognition, and the 3' end, to which the tRNAs corresponding amino acid is attached (by aminoacyl-tRNA synthetases). tRNAs cope with the degeneracy of the genetic code in two manners: having more than one tRNA (with a specific anti-codon) for a particular amino acid; and 'wobble' base-pairing, i.e. permitting non-standard base-pairing at the 3rd anti-codon position. NCBI's taxonomy places the organism in Eukaryota, Metazoa, Arthropoda, Branchiopoda, Diplostraca, Daphniidae. The record is from Rfam.
UCUAAUGUGGCAGAUUAGUGCCUUAGAUUUAAGCUCUAAAAAUGAAAGUUAAAAUCUUUCCAUUAGAA